UUUUGGACAAUGGGCGCAAGCCUGAUCCAGCCAUUCCGCGUGAGUGAAGAAGGCCUUCGGGUUGUAAAGCUCUUUCGCAAGGGACGAAAACUUACUUUCUAAUAAAGAGUGAGGUUGACGGUACCUUGAUAAGAAGCACCGGCUAACUACGUGCCAGCAGCCGCGGUAAUACGUAGGGUGCGAGCGUUAAUCGGAAUUACUGGGCGUAAAGCGUGCGCAGGCGGCUUUGUAAGUCAGAUGCGAAAUCCCCGAGCUCAACUUGGGAACUGCGUUUGAAACAACAAGGCUAGAAUAUGUCAGAGGGGGGUAGAAUUCCACGUGUAGCAGUGAAAUGCGUAGAGAUGUGGAGGAAUACCGAUGGCGAAGGCAGCCCCCUGGGAUAAUAUUGACGCUCAUGCACGAA
This 403-nucleotide ribosomal RNA is filed under the name uncultured bacterium. RNAcentral describes it as "bacterial SSU rRNA". It matches the Rfam family "Bacterial small subunit ribosomal RNA", at positions 362 to 757 of the family's 1533-position model. The record is from RNAcentral.